RNAcentral lists this long non-coding RNA (1257 nucleotides) under Trifolium pratense (red clover). Its description in RNAcentral is "long non-coding RNA (TPRA_LNC006618)". The record is from RNAcentral. Lineage: Eukaryota; Viridiplantae; Streptophyta; Magnoliopsida; Fabales; Fabaceae.
AAAUUCUAUACAAAAACUUUUACGAGUACGACAUCUCGUUUUUUUAUUGAAUGGUGUGCGUGGAUUUAGACAAUCACGAUCAGUUUUACAUGGAAUUGCAGCUGUAAUGUAAAAAGAAAAAAAAAGUUAUUAAAAUGGAAUAAAUAUUGUGAAAGAAGGAAAUUUGUAAUGGAGAUAACAACAGUUUACAACGUGCAAUUUUUGUUGAAUCAAGAAACAAGGAAAUAAUGAUUAUCAUAAUAUUAACAAACUUAAAAAUUUUGUCCAUAUUUUCCAAUUUUUGCAUGUAUUAAAUAUAGUAUUAUUUUAUCACUUUUUGAUUCAUAAAUUAAAGCUCAUAUUCUUCGUACAUCAACUAAAUAGUUUUUAGUACUUACAUAGUUGUAAAAAGACUUCUAAUUUUUAAAUAAUUAUUAAAUGUCUCUUAAGCACAACAAUGUGUUAAUUUGCUCCUUUAGCACCUUAUGUAAAGAGGUCAAGUAAAAAUUUACAAAUCAAAAUAAUUCAUUCUUAAAUUUUUAACAUAAUUUUCACUAUUUUAUAACCUUUCAUGAUAGAGAAGAAAAAAUCACAAAAUAAAAAUAAUAUUGUUUGUGAUACCCUAAACUCCAUAGAUAUAAUUGAAGGUGCAUGAGAUACACAACAAAAUACUUAAGAGAUGCAUAUUAGUUAAUAUACAUUGUUCUUUAUCAAAAUACUUAACUGAAGUUAAUAUUGAAGAUGAAGAUAAACCAUAAAUAAACACGACUUAAUUGACUAAAGGAGAAGGAUCUUUUGACACUAUUCAAAUCAUUGCUUUCAAUGACUUAUAUACUGUUGUGAUUCUAUGAAUUUAAUCUCUUGGUGCUUCUUUUGUCUUUGACUAAGUUGACUUACAAAUAAGUUUUUAAGUUGAAGUACUAGAGAGAUCAUGAAGCAUGAACAACAGAAUGUCCUUGGAACAUGAUUAAUAAGCUUUUGCUCCUGUCUAAUUAAAAUACUCAAGAGUAUUUUCUCCGCUCCAAAUUAUAAGGGAAAAAACAAAAAUUACACUUUUUAAAAAAAAUCACAAUUAUACAAAAACUUUUUAAUUGAUGUUUUAAAGAUAAUUAUCUUUAAAACAUCUUAAUUAUCUUUAACACAUCAAAUUGAUAUUUUGCUUCAACAAUCUCCCUUUUUUUAUGAUAAAAUUAAAAAGUUUUAUAUUGUAUUAUACUUUGCUGAUUAAUGUAAUUUUCUCUACCAUUUAAUUUUAUAUCUUCUUUUCACAAAUUCUCA